ACGAACGCUGGCGGCGUGCUUAACACCUGCCAGUCGAACGGAAAGGCCCUGCUUGCAGGGUCCUCGAGUGGCGAACGGGUGAGUAACACGUGGGUGAUCUGCCCUGCACUUCGGGAUAAGCCUGGGAAACUGGGUCUAAUACCGGAUAGGAGCCAUUUUUAGUGUGAUGGUUGGAAAGUUUUUUCGGUGUAGGAUGAGCUCGCGGCCUAUCAGCUUGUUGGUGGGGUAAUGGCCUACCAAGGCGGCGACGGGUAGCCGGCCUGAGAGGGUGGACGGCCACAUUGGGACUGAGAUACGGCCCAGACUCCUACGGGAGGCAGCAGUGGGGAAUAUUGCACAAUGGGCGCAAGCCUGAUGCAGCGACGCCGCGUGGGGGAUGACGGCCUUCGGGUUGUAAACUCCUUUCGCUAGGGACGAAGCUUUUUGUGACGGUACCUAGAGAAGAAGCACCGGCUAACUACGUG
Molecule: ribosomal RNA, 464 nt
Filed under: uncultured bacterium
Lineage: Bacteria
Description: partial 16S ribosomal RNA
Rfam family: Bacterial small subunit ribosomal RNA
Source: RNAcentral